AGGUUUUCCCCUCUUUUCUUGCGGCACCAAACCCUAAUUCUCUUCCUUAGACGCAUGACUAUUAUGAAUAUUGAAAUGAAACACUGAGUAUUGUCGAAAUGAAACACCAAUAUAUGCGACACCAUAUAAAUAUUGACCUGAUAAGUUCAUCUCAUUUCAAUGUGAUUAGAAAUCAUAUGUCCUGUUUGAACGAUGAUUGAGCGUGGAAUUGCAGAUGAUUCAUUUCUUAACUAUGGCAUUAGGAGGAGAGGGUUACCUUAAUUUCGUGGGAAAUGAGUUUGGGCAUCCAGAUUGGAUUGACUUCCCCAGAGAAGGCAAUGGCUGGAGUUAUGACACAUGCAGACGUCAGUGGGAGCUCGUGGAUACCGAGCAUUUUAAGAUUUAAUGCUUUCCAUAGUUCUGCUGUUCGAGACAAUCUCAUGCUGGAACCAUGCAAUUAUGCUUUUUCUGCAUCAUAUGUUUUAAGUAUUAACUUAUGAGAUUUUAAAUUUUAUCUUGCAACACUUGGUCUCUUCUGGAAACUUCACAUUGAUUGAGAUUAUUAACUUGCACACUAGGAGAGUGUUAUAAUAUAUUAGAUACACUUCACCGGAUAUCUGCAUCUCAAUCCAAUGUUUUUUCACUUGUGAUCAUAAAUGCAGUUUCUGAAUGCUUUUGACAGAGUCAUGAAUUUGCUUGAUAAAAAAUUUAAAUUUCUUGCAUCACCAAAACAGUUUGUAAGCAGCACGGAUGAUGGUUGCAGGAUAUUUUUAGCUUCCAGUACCAAAAAUAUCUCCAAUUUGAUGGCUUGUUUGUUACAGGUCAUUGUUUUUGAACGUGGAGAUCUGGUAUUUGUGUUCAACUUUCACCCAGAAAAUACGUACGAAGGAAGGGUAUAAAGUUGACAGUGAUGCUUGGGAUUUUGGUGGACACUGAAACACAGUCCUCCUUGGUUAGACAAGCUCACCUUUUGAACAAGAUAAUAGCGUUACCAAGUCAUGGUGGCUCAUGAUUCAGACCAUUUCACAAGCCCCGAAGGUGUACCCGGUGUUCCUGAAACAAAUUUCAACAUCAUCCGGCCGGAUUGCUCCAAAGUUCUCUCUCCGCCUCGUACAUGUUUACUAUCGUGUUGAAGAAGAAGUAAAAGAAAGCAAGAUUGAUGGAUAUGAAGCAUCUCUAGCAAAACUGCCAAACAAAGAAGUCUCUCAGGGAGGUGAUGAAGAUAGUAACGGGUGGUGCUAAGGAAUUAGUACCGGGAACGCGCACUUUAGAAGAUGAAGAUGACGCAUAGUGCUAGAAACGGGGGCGAUAGGAGAUGGCAGCUUAACAGAUUUAGCAAACAUGUAACUUUUGUUUUUUAGUUACUAAAUGUUGGAAUGAAUGCCCCUUUUAUGAAAAGUGUAUGAAACUACACCUUGUGAUAUAUUUCAAGAGUUUUGCACA
Molecule: long non-coding RNA, 1422 nt
Organism: Salvia splendens (bonfire salvia)
Lineage: Eukaryota; Viridiplantae; Streptophyta; Magnoliopsida; Lamiales; Lamiaceae
Exons: 6
Source: RefSeq, a predicted model, not a curated record